AGCUUUGCACAGUAGCAGUAUCAUAGCCAGAGAGAUUUAUCCGAGGCGCGAUUAUUGCUAAUUGAAAAAAAAUAAUAAAUAAGUAAAUAAAUAAAUUUGUUUAUAAUGAUAGAUACCAUAGGUGACACGUUUUCCCACUUGAGUAUC
Molecule: small nuclear RNA, 147 nt
Organism: Myotis myotis
Lineage: Eukaryota; Metazoa; Chordata; Mammalia; Chiroptera; Vespertilionidae
Product: U4 spliceosomal RNA
Exons: 1
Source: RefSeq, a predicted model, not a curated record